AUCAUCGUUAGCGCAGCUGAUGAAGGAUCCCUGGUGUUUGCACGUAAGUGUCAACUGUUUCUAUGUUUAUAUGCAUAGAGAGUAAGGUCUGGGUGAGACGGGCGCCAGCCGCCGCGGUUAUACCUGCAGCUCAAGUGGUGGUCGCUAUUAUUGGGCCUAAAACGUCCGUAGCCGGUUUAGAAAAUGCUUGGGUAAAUCGUGCCGCUCAACGGUACGAAUUCCGGGUAGACUGCUAAACUUGAGACCGGGAGAGGCUAGAGGUACUCCUGGGGUAGGGGGAAAUUCUGUAAUCUUAGGGGGACCACCAGGGGGAAAGGCGUCUAGCUAAAACGGGUCUGACGGUGAGGGACAAAGCCUUGGGCGGCAAACCGAAUUAGAUACCCGGGUAGUCCAGGGUGUAACGCCUGCUGGUUUGAUUUGUGGGGGUCCAGGCCCAAUCGGGGCCGGAAAGAAGUUUUUAGGCAGGCUGCCUGGGAAGUCCAAUCGAAAAUGGAAACUUAAAGAAAUUGGCGGGGGACCACGCAACGGGGGGACGGGCGUUUAUUGAUUCAACGCCGGAAAUUCACGAGGCGACGUACUGGAGGCAGGCGAGACCUGCAGGAUUUCCAAAGUGGUCAGGCGCGUAGUCUACCGAAGGCGUCGGUAGUCAAACACGAACUCUUUAAUCAACUGAAUCGCUUCAGACAUAAAGAACCGUGGGAAGCAAGAAGCGGCCACGUAGUAGUUCCUAACUCGGUACCGCGCUAAAGUAGCAUGGUCGACCAAGUAGGAUCGACUUCAGUCGACGGUUGACCCCCGGAUGAUCGGAAGCGACAUCCGGGAAUGCCCCCCUCCCACCGAGGCACUGUAUCGGGAGUCUAGGGAAUCAUUGGAAAUUGG
This 879-nucleotide ribosomal RNA is filed under the name uncultured archaeon. RNAcentral describes it as "bacterial SSU rRNA". It matches the Rfam family "Archaeal small subunit ribosomal RNA", at positions 351 to 1251 of the family's 1478-position model. The record is from RNAcentral.